GUGCUUAAUUGUGCAGCACAUAUGCUAAACUAGAACCAUACAGAGAUUAGCAUGGCCCCUGCCCAAGGAUGUCACACAAAUUUGUGAAGGGUUCCUUAUUUUU
Molecule: small nuclear RNA, 103 nt
Organism: Callithrix jacchus (white-tufted-ear marmoset)
Lineage: Eukaryota; Metazoa; Chordata; Mammalia; Primates; Cebidae
Source: Ensembl